This is a long non-coding RNA of Anneissia japonica, 395 nucleotides long. RefSeq lists it as uncharacterized. The record is from RefSeq and is a predicted model, not a curated record. The transcript is spliced from 3 exons. Lineage: Eukaryota; Metazoa; Echinodermata; Crinoidea; Comatulida; Comatulidae.
GGAUCAAAAUUCAUCACAAAAAUACAAAUUCACGGAAUAUUAUGAUGUCGAGUUAACAGAUUAUUAGUUUUUGAUAGAGGAACGAAGUGUAUGUCUUACUCAAAGGAAAGGUUGUCACAACAAUGAGGACAUGUGCCUAGGGUUUUAUUAGAAAAAAAUUGACAGUGACUUAUAAUGGCAAUAAAAUUAACUUGGUAUUUCAUCAUAAGUAUUACAGUUUUUUUCAGCAAAUGCUCUGCUGUGAUUGUAACUGUUGAUGACAUUGUAAGUGUAGCUGAAGGCAAUGAAACCAGAAUAAUGUGCAACAUGACGCGAAGUAUUUCAAGUAGUGUAGGUAUUUCUACAGUAACCUGGUAUAAUGUCACCAAUGGAGUAACUGAUCAAAUAGCACAAUC